Molecule: ribosomal RNA, 257 nt
Filed under: uncultured Actinomycetales bacterium
Lineage: Bacteria; Bacillati; Actinomycetota; Actinomycetes; Actinomycetales
Description: partial 16S ribosomal RNA
Rfam family: Bacterial small subunit ribosomal RNA
Source: RNAcentral
GCUUUUGUGGGGUGCUCGAGUGGCGAACGGGUGAGUAACACGUGAGUAACCUGCCCUUGACUUUGGGAUAACUUCGGGAAACUGGGGCUAAUACCGGAUAGGAGCUCCUGCUGCAUGGUGGGGGUUGGAAAGUUUCGGCGGUUGGGGAUGGACUCGCGGCUUAUCAGCUUGUUGGUGGGGUAGUGGCUUACCAAGGCUUUGACGGGUAGCCGGCCUGAGAGGGUGACCGGCCACAUUGGGACUGAGAUACGGCCCAG